Molecule: ribosomal RNA, 2366 nt
Filed under: Salmonella enterica
Lineage: Bacteria; Pseudomonadati; Pseudomonadota; Gammaproteobacteria; Enterobacterales; Enterobacteriaceae
Also listed under: 1 other name
Description: bacterial LSU rRNA
Rfam family: Bacterial large subunit ribosomal RNA
Source: RNAcentral
GUGACUGCGUACCUUUUGUAUAAUGGGUCAGCGACUUAUAUUCUGUAGCAAGGUUAACCGAAUAGGGGAGCCGCAGGGAAACCGAGUCUUAAUUGGGCGUUAAGUUGCAGGGUAUAGACCCGAAACCCGGUGAUCUAGCCAUGGGCAGGUUGAAGGUUGGGUAACACUAACUGGAGGACCGAACCGACUAAUGUUGAAAAAUUAGCGGAUGACCUGUGGCUGGGGGUGAAAGGCCAAUCAAACCGGGAGAUAGCUGGUUCUCCCCGAAAGCUAUUUAGGUAGCGCCUCGUGAAUUCAUCUCCGGGGGUAGAGCACUGUUUCGGCUAGGGGGCCAUCCCGGCUUACCAACCCGAUGCAAACUGCGAAUACCGGAGAAUGUUAUCACGGGAGACACACGGCGGGUGCUAACGUCCGUCGUGAAGAGGGAAACAACCCAGACCGCCAGCUAAGGUCCCAAAGUCAUGGUUAAGUGGGAAACGAUGUGGGAAGGCCCAGACAGCCAGGAUGUUGGCUUAGAAGCAGCCAUCAUUUAAAGAAAGCGUAAUAGCUCACUGGUCGAGUCGGCCUGCGCGGAAGAUGUAACGGGGCUAAACCAUGCACCGAAGCUGCGGCAGCGACGCUGAUGCGUUGUUGGGUAGGGGAGCGUUCUGUAAGCCUGUGAAGGUGUGUCGUGAGGCAUGCUGGAGGUAUCAGAAGUGCGAAUGCUGACAUAAGUAACGAUAAAGCGGGUGAAAAGCCCGCUCGCCGGAAGACCAAGGGUUCCUGUCCAACGUUAAUCGGGGCAGGGUGAGUCGACCCCUAAGGCGAGGCCGAAAGGCGUAGUCGAUGGGAAACGGGUUAAUAUUCCCGUACUUGGUGUUACUGCGAAGGGGGGACGGAGAAGGCUAUGUUGGCCGGGCGACGGUUGUCCCGGUUUAAGCGUGUAGGUGUGUGUUCCAGGUAAAUCCGGUUCACUUUAACACUGAGGCGUGAUGACGAGGCACUACGGUGCUGAAGCAACAAAUGCCCUGCUUCCAGGAAAAGCCUCUAAGCAUCAGGUAACAUCAAAUCGUACCCCAAACCGACACAGGUGGUCAGGUAGAGAAUACCAAGGCGCUUGAGAGAACUCGGGUGAAGGAACUAGGCAAAAUGGUGCCGUAACUUCGGGAGAAGGCACGCUGACACGUAGGUGAAGUGAUUUACUCAUGGAGCUGAAGUCAGUCGAAGAUACCAGCUGGCUGCAACUGUUUAUUAAAAACACAGCACUGUGCAAACACGAAAGUGGACGUAUACGGUGUGACGCCUGCCCGGUGCCGGAAGGUUAAUUGAUGGGGUCAGCGCAAGCGAAGCUCCUGAUCGAAGCCCCGGUAAACGGCGGCCGUAACUAUAACGGUCCUAAGGUAGCGAAAUUCCUUGUCGGGUAAGUUCCGACCUGCACGAAUGGCGUAAUGAUGGCCAGGCUGUCUCCACCCGAGACUCAGUGAAAUUGAACUCGCUGUGAAGAUGCAGUGUACCCGCGGCAAGACGGAAAGACCCCGUGAACCUUUACUAUAGCUUGACACUGAACAUUGAGCCUUGAUGUGUAGGAUAGGUGGGAGGCUUUGAAGUGUGGACGCCAGUCUGCAUGGAGCCGACCUUGAAAUACCACCCUUUAAUGUUUGAUGUUCUAACGUGGACCCGUAAUCCGGGUUGCGGACAGUGUCUGGUGGGUAGUUUGACUGGGGCGGUCUCCUCCUAAAGAGUAACGGAGGAGCACGAAGGUUGGCUAAUCCUGGUCGGACAUCAGGAGGUUAGUGCAAUGGCAUAAGCCAGCUUGACUGCGAGCGUGACGGCGCGAGCAGGUGCGAAAGCAGGUCAUAGUGAUCCGGUGGUUCUGAAUGGAAGGGCCAUCGCUCAACGGAUAAAAGGUACUCCGGGGAUAACAGGCUGAUACCGCCCAAGAGUUCAUAUCGACGGCGGUGUUUGGCACCUCGAUGUCGGCUCAUCACAUCCUGGGGCUGAAGUAGGUCCCAAGGGUAUGGCUGUUCGCCAUUUAAAGUGGUACGCGAGCUGGGUUUAGAACGUCGUGAGACAGUUCGGUCCCUAUCUGCCGUGGGCGCUGGAGAACUGAGGGGGGCUGCUCCUAGUACGAGAGGACCGGAGUGGACGCAUCACUGGUGUUCGGGUUGUCAUGCCAAUGGCAUUGCCCGGUAGCUAAAUGCGGAAGAGAUAAGUGCUGAAAGCAUCUAAGCACGAAACUUGCCCCGAGAUGAGUUCUCCCUGAGACUUUAAGUCUCCUGAAGGAACGUUGAAGACGACGACGUUGAUAGGCCGGGUGUGUAAGCGCAGCGAUGCGUUGAGCUAACCGGUACUAAUGAACCGUGAGGCUUAACCUUACAACGCCGAAG